Molecule: transfer RNA, 72 nt
Filed under: Elusimicrobiota bacterium
Lineage: Bacteria; Pseudomonadati; Elusimicrobiota
Description: tRNA-Cys
Rfam family: tRNA
About the family: Transfer RNA (tRNA) molecules are approximately 80 nucleotides in length. Their secondary structure includes four short double-helical elements and three loops (D, anti-codon, and T loops). Further hydrogen bonds mediate the characteristic L-shaped molecular structure. tRNAs have two regions of fundamental functional importance: the anti-codon, which is responsible for specific mRNA codon recognition, and the 3' end, to which the tRNAs corresponding amino acid is attached (by aminoacyl-tRNA synthetases). tRNAs cope with the degeneracy of the genetic code in two manners: having more than one tRNA (with a specific anti-codon) for a particular amino acid; and 'wobble' base-pairing, i.e. permitting non-standard base-pairing at the 3rd anti-codon position.
Source: RNAcentral
GGCGCGAUACCCAAGUGGUAAGGGGGCGGUCUGCAAAACCGCCAUACGUCGGUUCGAUUCCGACUCGCGCCU